Molecule: ribosomal RNA, 456 nt
Filed under: uncultured organism
Description: partial 16S ribosomal RNA
Rfam family: Bacterial small subunit ribosomal RNA
Source: RNAcentral
ACGUACACUCCUGCGGGAGGCAGCAUUGGGGAAUAUUGGACAAUGGGCGCAAGCCUGAUCCAGCCAUGCCGCGUGAGUGAUGAAGGCCCUAGGGUUGUAAAGCUCUUUCACCGGUGAAGAUAAUGACGGUAACCGGAGAAGAAGCCCCGACUAACUUCGUGCCAGCAGCCGCGGUAAUACGAAGGGGGCUAGCGUUGUUCGGAUUUACUGGGCGUAAAGCGCACGUAGGCGGACUAUUAAGUCAGGGGUGAAAUCCCGGGGCUCAACCCCGGAACUGCCUUUGAUACUGGUAGUCUUGAGUUCGAGAGAGGUGAGUGGAAUUCCGAGUGUAGAGGUGAAAUUCGUAGAUAUUCGGAGGAACACCAGUGGCGAAGGCGGCUCACUGGCUCGAUACUGACGCUGAGGUGCGAAAGCGUGGGGAGCAAACAGGAUUAGAAACCCUUGUAGUCCCAUGAU